UCUCAAAGGUGUGAAGCGUUGAUUCCUCUCGGAUGUGUUGGACUUCUUGACUCACGACCUGGUGCUGGAGGAUGCCAUUUUUCAACUUCUCUUCGGCUGUGAUUCUUUUUUGGGGCUUUUCUAUUCCAAGCUGAGAAAGAGUCCUGUGAAGCCGUGGCUUUGAGCAGGGUUCGGUGUGGGUUUAAGGGCUGAUGAUUGAAGAUGAAUUGAUUCCGAUCCUUCCAAAUGCACCAAAGAACUGUGGCAACCAGUUCAAACUUCUGUUUGGGUCUUUCCAAAUGUGGGCUCUCCAGGGGCAGAGCAAUAAAGUAUGCUCAAUCGUCUCA
Molecule: long non-coding RNA, 326 nt
Organism: Eucalyptus grandis
Lineage: Eukaryota; Viridiplantae; Streptophyta; Magnoliopsida; Myrtales; Myrtaceae
Exons: 3
Source: RefSeq, a predicted model, not a curated record